RNAcentral lists this non-coding RNA (21 nucleotides) under Arabidopsis thaliana (thale cress). Lineage: Eukaryota; Viridiplantae; Streptophyta; Magnoliopsida; Brassicales; Brassicaceae. The record is from RNAcentral.
ACGAGGAUGGGCAAAAGCUGG